Molecule: long non-coding RNA, 13572 nt
Organism: Magallana angulata
Lineage: Eukaryota; Metazoa; Mollusca; Bivalvia; Ostreida; Ostreidae
Exons: 2
Source: RefSeq, a predicted model, not a curated record
CUUCUUGUAUGGUGGGCUUGAAACUGCCUCCCCCUUUUUCCAACAUCUGUACUGUGUAAAUAGUUACAGAAUGUAGAUUGUCUAAUUGUAAGGUAGACUAGAAACUGCCUCUCCCUGUCUAACAUCUGUACUGUGUAAAUCAGUUACAGGUAUUUUUGGCUGUGUUAUUGUAAGUUUGACUAGAAACUGUCCCUCCUAAUUUAACAUUUAUAGUGUGUAAACCAGUUACAGGCUUGUGGACUAUCUUCUUGUAAGUAGGGCUUGAAACUGCCCCCCCCCCCCCCCUUUUCCAACAUCUGUACUGUGUAAAUAGUUACAAAAUGUAGAUUGUCUAAUUGUAAGAUUGACUAGAAACUGCCUCUCCCUGUCUAACAUCUGUACUGUUUAAAUCAGUUACAGGUAUUUUUGGCUGUGCAAUUGUAAGGUUGACUAGAAACUGUCCCUUUUUAUUUAACAUCUAUAGUGUGUAAACCAGUUAAAGGCUUGUGGACUAUCGUCUUGUAAGGUGGGCUUGAAACUGCCCCCCCCCCCUUUUCCAACAUCUGUACUGUGUAACUAGUCACAGGAUGCAAAUUGUCUAAUUGUAAGAUUGACUAGAAACUGCCUCUCCCUAUCUAACAUCUGUACUGUUUAAAUCAGUUACAGGUAUUUUUGGCUGUGUUAUUGUAAGUUUGACUAGAAACUGUCCCUCCUUAUUUAUCAUCUAUACUGUUUAAACCAGUUACAGGCUUAUGGACUAUCUUCUUGUAAGGUGAGCUUGAAACUGUCCCUCCUUAUUUAACAUCUGUACUGUGUAAAUAGUUACAGAAUGUAGAUUGUCUAACUGUAAGGUUGACCAGAAACUGCCUCUCCCUGUCUAACAUCUGUACUGUUUAAAUCAGUUACGGGUAUUUUUGGCUGUGUAAUUGUAAGGUUGACUAGAAACUGCCUCUCCCUGUCUAACAUCUGUACUGUUUAAAUCAGUUACAGGUAUUUUUGGCUGUGUACUAGAAACUGUCCCUCUUUAUUUUACAUCUAUAGUGUGUAAACCAGUUAAAGGCUUGUGGACUAUCUUCUUGUAAGGUGGGCUUGAAACUGGCCCCCCCCCCCCCCCCCUUUCCAACAUCUGUACUGUGUAACUAGUUACAGGAUGCAAAUUGUCUAAUUGUAAGAUUGACUAGAAACUGCCUCUCCCUGUCUAACAUCUGUACUGUUUAAAUCAGUUACAGGUAUUUUUGGCUGUGUUAUUGUAAGUUUGACUAGAAACUGUCCCUCCUUAUUUAUCAUCUAUACUGUGUAAACCAGUUACAGGCUUAUGGACUAUCUUCUUGUAAGGUGAGCUUGAAACUGUCCCUCCUUAUUUAACAUCUGUACUGUGUAAAUAGUUACAGAAUGUAGAUUGUCUAACUGUAAGGUUGACCAGAAACUGCCUCUCCCUGUCUAACAUCUGUACUGUUUAAAUCAGUUACAUGUAUUUUUGGCUGUGUAAUUGUAAGGUUGACUACAAACUGUCCCUCCUUAUUUAAUAUCUAUACUGUGUAAACCAGUUACAGGCUUGUGGACUAUCUUCUUGUAAAGUGGGAUUGAAACUGCCCCUCUUUUUCCAACAUCUGUACUGUGUAAAUAGUUACAGGAUGUAGAUUGUCUAAUUGUAAGGUUGACUAGAAACUGCCUCUCCCUGUCUAACAUCUGUACUGUGUAAAUCAGUUACAGGUAUUUUUGGCUGUGUAUGUACCUUGUUGUCCUCAACUAACUGUUGUCCUUCUGGUGCCCCGGUUUCAUUGGCCAGCAGGAUUGUGUAAUGGAGGAGUGAUUUCAAAUUGAUUGUAGACAACUCCUUUCCGGACAUUUCUAAAAUCUCUUCCGCCGACUCGUUAGUUAAUUCUUUGAAUUUGGGUGCAUUGGACACGAACACGGCAUUGGACAAUUCCUCUAAUGCCGUGUUCGAUUUCAAUCUACACCAGUUCAAUCGCUGGCCUGCGUAUGUCCUCAUUUUUUUUUACUACAGGAAGGAUAUUUUUCCCAACUAAGGAGUGCCUCCUUUUUAAUAUAGCCGAUGGUAGCAUUCUUGGUUUAUCGUUUCUAAAAUUAAAAUGAAUAAUUCUUAAUAAACACGUCCACACCAGCAAACUUGAUGAAAUGACCACACAUAAUUAAUAUUAUAAAAUAAAUAAUUUAACAACGUAGAACCCUUAUAAAACCACUCUUUUUUUAAGCGGGGGGGGGGGGGGUGGUUGGUUAAAGUCUGCUGCCGCUAACCUAUUACUCAAGCAUCAAACAUGCAUUUAUAUCUGUAUCAUUAACCGAGCUGAUAGUAAUAGUGUCAAGGCGCUGAAAGUUGACUAGAAACUGCCCAUCCUUAUUUAACAUCUAUACUGUGUAAAUUAGUUACAGGUUUACUGGCUGUCUUAUUCUAAGGUGAGCUAGGUACUGUUCCCCCUGUCUAUCAUCUGUACUGUGUAAACCAGUUAUGGGUUUUUUUUGGCUGCGUUAUUGGAAGGUUGACUAGAAAACUGUUCCUCAUUUAAUACCAGUACUGUGUUAAUCAGUUUCUGGUAUUUUGGCUUAGAAUUGAAUAAUAAUAAAUUAUAGAAAUGAUAUGGAUGUAAAUAAAGAUUUUCUAAGAAAGAUGAUAUAUUUAAAUUAAAGCAGGAUAUUUAGAUAUUACUUGUUAAUUUCUGAAUUAAAAAAAAAGGAGUUAUAGAUUGCUUAUUGUAAGAUGGACUAGAAAUUGUCCCUCCCUGUCUAUCAUCUGUACUGUUUAAAUCAGUUACAGGGUUUUUGGCUGUCUUAUUGUAAGGUGGACAAGAAUCUGCCCCGCCUUGUCUAAAAUCUGUACUGUGUAAAUCAGUUACAGGUUUUUUGGCUUGGUAAGGUGGACUAGAAACCGUAAGAUUGACUAGGAACUGUUCCUCCUUAUUUAUCAUCUGUACUGUGUAAAUCAGUUUCAGGUAUUUUGGCUAUCCUGUUGUAAGGUGGACCUGAAAUUGUCUCUUCCUGUCUUUCAUCUGUACUGUGUAAAUCAGUUACGGGUGUUUUAGCUGUGUAAUUGUUGAGGUUGAUUAGAAACUGUUCCUCCUUAUUUAACAUCUGUACUGUAUACAUUAGUAACAGGUGUAUUGGCUGUGUUAUUGUAAGGUGGGCUUGAAACUGCCUCUCCAUGUCUAACAUUUGUACUGUGUAAAUCAGUUACAGGUUUGUGUGUUUGUAUAUAGUAAAGUAUAGCGGUUAAUUAAUUACCUGUAACCUGUGGUGAACAUAUUAUGGUGUACUGUAUUACUCUCCAUAUCGUGAUGAUGAAGCCUCAAUACCUGUGACUCAUGUCAAAUGAAGAUGGGAUGAAGUACACAAAUAUGCUUCGUACAGGUCCUAUGGGUUGUCUUGCAACUUACAAAAUAAGGGUCAGCAGUACACCGAGUCAGGUGACAAUGCCUCUAUUUUUUGGUGACCGGACGCAUUCCAGUGAGGUCAUGUCAAAAAUUAGAAUUAAAUAAAUAUAAAUAAUAGAAAGGAUAUGGAUGUAAAUACAGAUUUUUAAAAAAAGAUGAUGAUAUAUUUAAAUUAAAGCAGGAUAUUUAGAUAUUACUUGUUAAUUUCUGAAUUAAAAAAAAAAGGAGUUAUAGAUUGCUUAUUGUAAGAUGGACUAGAAAUUGUCCCUCCCUGUCUAUCAUCUGUACUGUUUAAAUCAGUUACAGGGUUUUUGGCUGUCUUAUUGUAAGGUGGACAAGAAUCUGCCCCGCCUUGUCUAAAAUCUGUACUGUGUAAAUCAGUUACAGGUUUUUUGGCUUUUUUAUUGUAAGGUGGACUAGAAACCGUAAGAUUGACUAGGAACUGUUCCUCCUUAUUUAUCAUCUGUACUGUGUAAAUCAGUUUCAGGUAUUUUGGCUAUCCUGUUGUAAGGUGGACCUGAAAUUGUCUCUUCCUGUCUUUCAUCUGUACUGUGUAAAUCAGUUACGGGUGUUUUAGCUGUGUAAUUGUUGAGGUUGAUUAGAAACUGUUCCUCCUUAUUUAACAUCUGUACUGUAUACAUUAGUAACAGGUGUAUUGGCUGUGUUAUUGUAAGGUGGGCUUGAAACUGCCUCUCCAUGUCUAACAUUUGUACUGUGUAAAUCAGUUACAGGUUUGUGUGUUUGUAUAUAGUAAAGUAUAGCGGUUAAUUAAUUUCCUGUAACCUGUGGUGAACAUAUUAUGGUGUACUGUAUUACUUUCCAUAUCGUGAUGAUGAAGCCUCAAUACCUGUGACUCAUGUCAAAUGAAGAUGGGAUGAAGUACACAAAUAUGCUUCGUACAGGUCCUAUGGGUUGUCUUGCAACUUACAAAAUAAGGGUCAGCAGUACACCGAGUCAGGUGACAAUGCCUCUAUUUUUUGGUGACCGGACGCAUACCAGUGAGGUCAUGUCAAAAAUUAGAAUUAAAUAAAUAUAAAUAAUAGAAAGGAUAUGGAUGUAAAUACAGAUUUUUAAAAAAAAGAUGAUGAUAUAUUUAAAUUAAAGCAGGAUAUUUAGAUAUUCCUUGUUAAUUUCUGAAUUAAAAAAAAAAAGGAGUUAUAGAUUGCUUAUUGUAAGAUGGACUAGAAAUUGUCCCUCCCUGUCUAUCAUCUGUACUGUUUAAAUCAGUUACAGGUUUUUUGGCUUUUUUAUUGUAAGGUGGACUAGAAACCGUAAGAUUGACUAGGAACUGUUCCUCCUUAUUUAUCAUCUGUACUGUUUAAAUCAGUUACAGGGUUUUUGGCUGUCUUAUUGUAAGGUGGACAAGAAUCUGCCCCGCCUUGUCUAAAAUCUGUACUGUGUAAAUCAGUUACAGGUUUUUUGGCUUUUUUAUUGUAAGGUGGACUAGAAACCGUAAGAUUGACUAGGAACUGUUCCUCCUUAUUUAUCAUCUGUACUGUGUAAAUCAGUUUCAGGUAUUUUGGCUAUCCUGUUGUAAGGUGGACCUGAAAUUGUCUCUUCCUGUCUUUCAUCUGUACUGUGUAAAUCAGUUACGGGUGUUUUAGCUGUGUAAUUGUUGAGGUUGAUUAGAAACUGUUCCUCCUUAUUUAACAUCUGUACUGUAUACAUUAGUAACAGGUGUAUUGGCUGUGUUAUUGUAAGGUGGGCUUGAAACUGCCUCUCCAUGUCUAACAUUUGUACUGUGUAAAUCAGUUACAGGUUUGUGUGUUUGUAUAUAGUAAAGUAUAGCGGUUAAUUAAUUACCUGUAACCUGUGGUGAACAUAUUAUGGUGUACUGUAUUACUUUCCAUAUCGUGAUGAUGAAGCCUCAAUACCUGUGACUCAUGUCAAAUGAAGAUGGGAUGAAGUACACAAAUAUGCUUCGUACAGGUCCUAUGGGUUGUCUUGCAACUUACAAAAUAAGGGUCAGCAGUACACCGAGUCAGGUGACAAUGCCUCUAUUUUUUGGUAACCGGACGCAUACCAGUGAGGUCAUGUCAAAAAUUAGAAUUAAAUAAAUAUAAAUAAUAGAAAGGAUAUGGAUGUAAAUACAGAUUUUUAAAAAAAGAUGAUGAUAUAUUUAAAUUAAAGCAAGAUAUUUAGAUAUAACUUGUUAAAUUCUAAAUUUAAAAAAUGGAGCUGUAGAUUGUCUUAUUGUAAGGUGGACUAGAAAAUUUCCCUCCUUAUUCAACAUCUGUACUGUGUAAAUCACGUACAAGUUUAUUGGUUGUCUGAUUGUAAGGUUGACUAGAAAGUGUCCCUCCAUGUCUCACAUCUGUACUGUGUUAAUUAGUUACAUGUUGUAGAUUGUUUAAUUGUAAGAUGGGUUAGAAAUUGUCCCUCUGGACUGUGUAAACCAGGUACUUCUUAAUGUAAUGUCUUAUUGCAAGUUUGUCUAUAGAAACUGUUCUUCCCGGUCUACCAUCUGCAUUCUGUAAAUCAGUGACAAGUUCUUGUAAUGUGGGCUAAAAUCUGUCCCUCCCUGUCUAACAUCUGUAGUCUAUUAUAGUCCCAACAAUUAUACUUUUUUGCGAUUGACAAAAACAGUGCUUACUGGUCAAAUCUUUCCCAAGAUAAUGAUCAAACUCCCUCUUUCAUAUAAUAUAACUUGAAUGUGAACAUCGUUGGGCUACAACAAUUGAUAUCAACCCAUGUACUUUCGAGCAUGGUAAAUUCUACCACCUCACUCCCCCUUUCCUAAGACCUAAUGUUUUUCGUACAUUAGUCUUAAUUAUAUUGAUUUAAGAAGUCAACCGCCACACAUUUUAAAACUGUAACUAAAAUGACUUUUCUGAAUAUGAAAAAACCUUAUAUUUACACUUUUCAUAAUUGUCAAACGAUCUAAUAAAAAUGAUUUGCCAAAAAUUCUAUAAACUGGUGAAAAAAAGUAGAAAGUUAAAGUACUAAUACCGAUGUCUUUAAAUAUUGCGCUACUACUUUAAUUAUAGUUACCUAUAUUGGUCAACACCAUACUCAUAAUCCAAUUAGAGCACAAUAUGAAUUCGGUUUCAGAAAUUUUAUAAAAUACACAGUUAAAGUAAUAAUACCGGUGUUUCAUAAUAUUGCGCUACUACAUGUAUAUUUACUUACCUAUAUUGGUCAACAUCAUAAUUAUAAUCCAAUUAGAGCACAAUAUGAAUUCCUUAAGAAUUAUAAAUUACUGAAAGUUAUGCAUGUUAACUAAUCCUAUUCUGCAUAUCAAAAACAUGUGCACCAUGUGAAACCCAUCUAUAUGACCAAAAGAGCUCGGUAAAACAAGUACCCGCUAAUGCAGAAUCUAAAUUUUGAAAUUAAUAUCAAAUUUCAUAAAAAAUUAUAAAAUGAUUAUAUAAAAUUUAAAAAUAAAAAGUGUUUUUAGUUAAAUCUGAAUAUCUUUAAAUAGUUUAUUCAUAUUUGAUAAAAACAAAAGAUUUGUAGUUGUAGACUUCUUAUUAGAAGGUUGACUAGAAAAUAUCCUUACCUGUCUACCUGUCUUACCUGUCUACAUCUGUUCUCUGUUAAUCAGUUAAUUGACCCUCCGUGUCUAUCAUCUUUACUGUGUAAAUCAGCUACAGGUUAAUUGACCGUUUUAUUGUAAGGUGAACUAGAAAUUGUCCCUCAUGUCUAACAUCUGUACUGUGUAAAUCACUUACAGGUUUAUUUACCGUUUUAGUGUAAGGUGAACUAGAAAUUGACCCUCCCUGUCUAACAUCUGUACUGUGUAAAUCACUUACAGGUUUGUUGGCUGUCUUAUUGUAAGGUGAACUAGAAAUUGACCCUCCCUGUCUAACAUCUGUACUGUGUAAAUCAGUUACAGGUUUGUUUGCUGUCUUAUUGUAAGGUGAACUAGAAGUUGUCCCCCCCUGUUUAUCAUCUUUACUGUGUAAAUCAGUUACAGGUUUGUUGACCGUUUAAUUGUAAGUUGAACUAGAAAUUGACCCUCCCUGUCUAACAUCUGUACUGUGUAAAUCACUUACAGGUUUAUUUACCGUUUUAUUGUAAGGUGAACUAGAAAUUGACCCUCCCUGUCUAACAUCUUUACUGUGUAAAUAAUUUACAGGUUUGUUGACCGUUUAAUUGUAAGUUGAACUAGAAAUUGACCCUCUCUGUCUAACAUCUGUACUGUGUAAAUCACUUACAGGUUUAUUUACCGUUUUAUUGUAAGGUGAACUAGACAUUGACCCUCCCUGUCUAACAUCUGUACUGUGUAAAUCACUUACAGGUUUGUUGGCUGUCUUAUUGUAAGGUGAACUAGAAGUUGUCGUUCCCUGUGUAUCAUCUGUACUGUGUAAAUCAGUUACAGGUAUAUUGACCGUUUUAUUGUAAGGUGAACUAGAAAUUGUCCCUCAUGUCUAACAUCUGUACUGUGUAAAUCACUUACAGGUUUGUUGGCUGUCUUAUUGUAAGAUGAACUAGAAAUUGACCCUCCCUGUCUAAAAUCUGUACGGUGUUAAUCAGUUACGGGUUCUUUUGGCUGUCUUAUUCUAAGCAGGACUAGAAACUACACUGCCGUCCACUAUUUAGAAAUUGUCCCUCCCUGUGUAACAUCUGUACUGUGUAAAUCACUUACAGGUUUGUUGGCUGUUUUAUUGUAAGGUGAACUAGAAAUUGACCCUCCUUGUCUAACAUCUGUACUGUGUAAAUCACUUACAGGUUUGUUGGCUGUGAACUAGAAAUUGACCCUCCCUGUCUAUCAUCUGUAUUGUGUAAAUCAGCUACAGGUUAAUUGACCGUUUUAUUGUAAGAUGAACUAGAAAUUGACCCUCCCUGUCUAACAUCUGUACUGUGUAAAUCACAAACAGGUUUGGUGGCUGUCUUAUUGUAAAGUGAACAAGAAAUUGUCCCCCUGUCUAUCAUCUUUACUGUGUAAAUAAUUUACAGGUUUGUUGGCUGUCUAAUUGUAAGUUGAAGAAGAAAUUGACCCUCCUUGUCCAACAUCUGUACUGUGUAAAUCACUUACUGGUUAAUUUACCGUUUUAGUGUAAGGUGAACUAGAAAUUGACACUCCCUGUCUAACAUCUGUACUGUGUAAAUCACUUACAGGUUUGUUGGCUGUCUUAUUGUAAGGUGAACUAGAAGUUGUCGUUCCCUGUCUAUCAUCUGUACUGUGUAAAUCAGUUACAGGUUUAUUGACCGUUUUAUUGUAAGGUGAACUAGAAAUUGACCCUCCCUGUCUAACAUCUGUACUGUGUAAAUCACUUACAGGUUUGUUUGCUGUCUUAUUGUAAGAUGAACUAGAAAUUGACCCUCCCUGUCUAACAUCUAUACUGUGUAUAUCAGUUACGGGUUCUUUUGGCUGUCUUAUUCUAAGCAGGACUAGAAACUACCCCGCUGUCCACUAUUUAACAUCUGUACCGUGUAAAUCAGCUACAGGUUUAUUUGGGUUUUUUGCUGUCUUAUUGUUAGGUUAAAAGGUAUUAUAUGUAUCCGUAUUACUGGCAUAAAGAACAUCUACAUGCUUUUAUAUUUCACCUAUAUAUCAUUUGAAUUUUUAAAUAUGUUUUUCUUGAAAUCAGUUUUGCACUUUAAAACUUGAAGAGAUCAUCUUGUAACUGUUAAUAUUGUUGAUGAUGUCUACAUCAAAAUCCUGUAAACAUAGAAUCCUACCAUUACUCUUAACUACAGUAAAGACCAAUUCCACAGGGCUCGAUGAUCGUGGCCAUUUUGAGAUUGAUCUCCUUUUAAAAAGAAGAAUUAUGAAUAAAAAUAAAGAAUAAGAACAUUCUGUUAUUUCUAUGGAUUUUGGUUAUAGUUGAAUAUUUUGUGAUUGUGAUCCUGGUGUAUUAGGGUAGUUCCAUGGUCCUGAAUGACAUCUUGUGAAUUGUCGAAACGGUAAAGAUAGUUCCAAAUGACUGUUGUUGGCCCUGAAUCGUUGUUUCUUUCAUAGGGCUUCUUAUCUUUACUUUCUUUUCUGUGCUUACACUGUAAAAAAGAUAUUUAUUCAUUCGAGAACAGUUUUCAAUACAAAUUUGUGAAAAAUAGUUUUUACACAUUUCGCCUAAAAAAGUUCUUCAUGCUUAAACAUGUUUACUGAAGCAUUCUUUAUCUAAAACAUAAUAAGCCAUUAUGUUUAGGAGGUAAACACAUAAUCCCUUCCAUUUUGAUUUGUCUCCAACAUGUUUAAAAUCUCAACAUCUGAAACUAAUCCUUCGACUCCAUUUCAUUCAAUGAAAAUUUAAAUUCGAAAGGUUACCCUUGAUGUUGCUGACAUGAUUCUUCUGCCUAUUUCCAAACUGAGAUCUUGUACCACCAUCAGAAAUAAAUGGAAUUGUAUGCAACAAUAUAAGAAAAUGCAAAGAUAUCGAAUUAUUAACUGCGAGAAACUAUAACAAUUCACUGUAAGAAUUAUGUUUAGGUCCUAAACGUUUUUUUAAACGCCACGGAUGUAAUAAAUUUUAAACGUGUUUAUAAUUGUAACAUGUUUUCUAGCUAAACGUAUUUAGAAAUGUGUUCAUUUCCUUAACAUGUAUCAAGAUGGCGUGUUUAGAUUUUAAACAUGCCAAUCUAAAUGUGUUUAGAAUCUAAACACAUCUUUAAACGCAUUUAUGGCAUUGAGGACUAAAUUCUCAGCAAUGUGGUUUUUAAAAAAUUACAAAAAGCACAGAACAUUUGUGCAUUCAUGCCUCUCACCAGUCCUGUCAUAAAUUACAUAUCGUUGUUUACACUCUACAAUUUAAAAAACAAACACAUUGAUUGAAAUUGAAAGUAAACACUUUAAUGAGUGUUUCCACUAAAUGUCAAUACUUGUAAAAAAAAAAAAUAAUAAUAAAUGUUAUACAGAUUCACACAUGCAUACUAGUUAUGUUUUCAAAUUGUAUAAACCAUAAUUGUAAUUUAGAUAAAAGAUAAAAAUUCCUGAUUAAAAGUUCAUUUAAAUUGUAGAGUUAUGUGUUUUGUCAAUUUUACGACAAGAUUUUCUUUGAAAUUUAAUUUUGUGCAAUUGCAUUGAUACACAUGAUUAACAAAAAGUACUUCAGUAAAAUCUCAUAAAAUUAGACCUAUAAAUCUGGUCCAUAAACAACAGGACAAAUAUACAACGCAAGUAGGAUCCGAGAAAGAGUUUCUAUGCUGUUAAAGCUGAAAACAACUCUUGGAAUGUUAUCAUCCUCUAUAAUUCUUGGUGUGUCAUCUUUUUAUCCAGUGUCUUUGUGAACUUUAGAUAAUUAGAACACAUGAAGAAAUCGUUGGAUCGAUCAUUUAAUAUGUAGUGUUGAAGGAAUCCAAGAAGCUGGUACUGCUUUGGAUAAUUAAGAUCCAAUGUGUAGUAAGUGAACAGAAGUAGUUUCAGAGCCUCUCUGGCAUUCUGCCCUACUUCCAUCGAAAUGCCCUCUGCCUCUUAAAAACUGUGAACUCUAAUGUUUGGUUUUCAUCAAAUCUAACACUUUCACUCAUUUAAAGGAUGUCCGUAUAGGUUGUACAACACAUAAAUGUAUAGAUUAUUCAAUCAAGUCAAUAAUUCUUGUGUUUUCUAAAGGAAUUUUUAAGUACGUAACAUAAAUAUUUUUAUCUAAUUUUUCUAAUUUUGAAAUAUAUACGAGCUAAACAAAAAGAAAAAAUUCUCGAAUUACAGAAAGAAAAAUUCUCUAAUUCCUACAUGCAUAUAGGUUGACAUAUAAUGGACGAAUUUGCAUGUUGGUUCUAAUACUCUGUUUUGAAUAGAUUGCACUGUCUCCUUGCGAAAAAAGUUUCAAAUGCAUAUGAAUACAGGUCAUGUUAUAUACAAUCUUUGGGUAUAAAUGUAUCCUCACGAAACAAUAUUGGUAAUGGUGUCAAAGAUGAUUUGCAUUUAACUUACCAACUUGUCCAUAUUACAUGGACUCGAAACGUUUGCAAAACUUUAGAUAAUUGUCUGAAGUAAUGAACUCUGUUUUUUGUCCCCCAAGACAUGGUGCUGAAUAAAUCCUAAAAGAUAAAAAAAAUUGGGGUAUGGCAUCCCAGGCGUAAUACGCACAUAGCAGUUUUAAGAAUCUAUCUUGCAAAAGAAAAGUUUGUGUCUCAAGUUUCUGACCAGCUCCAACAACGUAUAUGUUUUGUAGUGCUCCUUGUGAGCUGAGCACGGCAAUUAGUCUGGGAGGAUCUUCUUUCUUGCUCUUCAUUCCAUUCCAUUCACUAGCCCAUAAUAAAUAUACAAUCAUUAUGUGCAACACAGCUAAUAACUUUAAGGUUUUUUUCAUUUUUCACACUGAUAAAAUGUCUGUCAAAAACAUACCUGCAUGUAGUGACAGAACUGGAUUCUUUGGGGCCUUGUAUUCCAAUGCAUUCUUCAGUUUGACGAGCGUAUCUAUGGUUACCACUUGAUUCUGUACAAGAUAAAACAUAAUAUCAGACGGGAAUUUUGAAUCUUUAUCUUCAUUGAAUAAGCUACGACCUUCGCCUCAUUAAAAUAGUAUCAUUAUAUUAUUGUAUUAUCUAAUAUUUAUUAGUUUUCAUGUAAAUUGAAAGAUACUCGAAAUAUUUAAACAAAUAUAUUUUAGUAUAAUAUAUCUAACAGUUUCUUAAUUUUCAUCCGUGAAAAUCGUCCCUCUACUCAUGACUGUCUCCCAUCAAUCAUUAAUAUCUUUUUUUUCAAAUUUGGCUUUGAAAGAAAGAACUCUUUCUAAAUCUUAAAAAAAUAUGUAUAAUUAAUAUUUUUAACACCUUAAUUAAAAUUAUCAAUCGUAACGAAUGUCUUAAAGAAGAUGGAAUAUAUGGAAACAAUUAUUUAAUUAAAACAUCGAUAUUUUUGUUUCUUUUCCUCUCUCAUAAAGUAUUCCUUUGAAAAGUCUGAUAUUAUUUAUCUUAAUGUUUAAUAAUUAAAAUUAUUAAGAAUCAUUUCAUUUUUUAACUACCCAGUACUUACAAAUAAACACUUCCACAAGAAUGGAAAUAUUUUAAUGAGUCAUCGACUGAUCCCUGGUAUUUUUCUACAAAUGAUCUCUGCUCAAGGGUAUCUCUUUGUGCUCUUGCAAUGACUGCCAAGUCCAUCAUUUUUGUUUGUUUUUAAACUCUUUUUCCAAUACCUUUUCAGCAUCCCCAUGUUUAUUUUUCUCUUUUAAAAAGUAUAAUUUUUAUUAUCGAUGAUAUUGCCAACAAAGCAUUCCUUUAGAAAAAAAUUUGUUGUUUACAUUUUGAAAAGUAAUGAUAUUAAAAUAUAACAUACAUCUUACAAAACUUUCAAAAACAUCUUAACCGUUUAAAUCAGUAACAAGUUUGUGGAUCAUCUUACUCUUAGGUAAUUGAGAAAACUUAAGCUGUUUAAUCAGAAUAUCGGUUAAUAAAAAACGCGUAAACAGUACCAUUUUCCCUUGUAUAACAUAAAAUUUGGAUUGAUUCUUGUUGAUAUACUUUGCUAUAAGUAAACUCAAACAGUAAGACGCAUUAAUUUGAAUAAUAUUAAAUCGGAUUUACAAGUUUUGGACGUAUUGUAAACUUUGUGUUCUUCUUAGCAAGUUAUUAAUGACAAUUUUGAUGAAUAUAUUUUGCCAAUCAAAUAAAGUGUUAUAACCAGAAUUAGAGACUAGUAUAUAAAUAUUUAGUUAUAAAUUUUGUUUUACAAUAUGGAUUAUAAAGUCUUAACUGUAUGUAAACUGCCUGACACAAAAAUAUUUUGGUUUGUCCAACUAUUGUAUUAGAUAUUUUUGGCGUUUACAUGUAUCUAUUGGAUAUUAUCUAACGUUGCAAACGCAAACUUGAGAAAAGUAGCUUUUGGUGCAUAUAAUUCCGAUUUCUUACCUUUCAUAGCUGUGUAUAAAUAUUCCUGGUAUUCAUAUUCCCUGUUCGGCAUACAAUGCAACAAAGAAUGCAACAUUUUAAAAUUUUGUUGCCAAGUUGAUAUCAAAUAUAUUUGUUUCAUUGGAAUACUUGAAUUCUAUACAUUAGUCCAAUUAAAGUUUUGUUGACAGAAACUUUGUUUUACAAUAAUACAAAUACAAGGUUUUCUUUGUCUUAACCGGUCGUAAUCAGCUAUACAUUUUCACCUUUUAACGUAACUAUUACACCAUGGACAUAUUACUCACAUUGAAGUAUUGAUAGUGAUGGGAAAGUAUCAGUGUGAUAAUUGUAUAAUAUGAAACUAAGUCAUUGUAGUUAUAUAAGCCUAUAACCUAUAUGUGAUUUUCAUUAUGUGGAUACUUUUGUGACAUGUUACUUUUGCGUUCAACAGAACUUAAUGUUACAUGAUUUGAAUUAAACCAUUGUUGCAUGAUAA